This 416-nucleotide ribosomal RNA is filed under the name uncultured eukaryote. RNAcentral's name for it is "bacterial SSU rRNA". It matches the Rfam family "Eukaryotic small subunit ribosomal RNA", at positions 592 to 1017 of the family's 1831-position model. The record is from RNAcentral.
UAAUAGCGUAUAUUAAUGUUGUUGCAGUUAAAAAGCUCGUAGUUGGAUUUUGGUGUUUGACAAACGGUCGGCCUUACGGUUUGUACUGUUUGUUGGCACUUCUUUUCUGGGGAACUCACUGUUCUUAAUUGAAGGGUGUUGUAACGCAGAUCGUUUACUUUGAAAAAUUAGAGUGUUCAAAGCAGGCCAACGCAUUGAAUACAUUAGCAUGGAAUAAUGGAAUAGGACUUUGGUCUUAUUUUGUUGGUUUCUAAGGCCGAGGUAAUGAUUAAUAGGGAUAGUUGGGGCGUUUAUAUUCCGUUGUCAGAGGUGAAAUUCUUGGACCUUCGGAAGACUAACAACUGCGAAAGCAUUUGCCUAGGAUGUUCUCUUUAAUCAAGAACGAAAGUUGGGGGAUCGAAGACGAUCAGAUACCA